Molecule: ribosomal RNA, 253 nt
Filed under: uncultured bacterium
Lineage: Bacteria
Description: partial 16S ribosomal RNA
Rfam family: Bacterial small subunit ribosomal RNA
Source: RNAcentral
UACGGAGGGGGCUAGUGUUGUUCGGAAUUACUGGGCGUAAAGCGCACGUAGGCGGCUUUGUACGUUAGAGGUGAAAGCCCAGGGCUUAACCCUGGAAUUGCCUUUAAGACUGCAUCGCUAGAAUCGUGGAGAGGUGAGUGGAAUUCCGAGUGUAGAGGUGAAAUUCGUAGAUAUUCGGAAGAACACCAGUGGCGAAGGCGACUCACUGGACACGUAUUGACGCUGAGGUGCGAAAGCGUGGGGAGCAAACAGG